AGUGAACGCUGGCGGUAGGCCUAACACAUGCAAGUCGAACGGCAGCACAGUAAGAGCUUGCUCUUACGGGUGGCGAGUGGCGGACGGGUGAUGAAUACAUCGGAAUCUACUUUUUCGUGGGGGAUAACGUAGGGAAACUUACGCUAAUACCGCAUACGACCUACGGGUGAAAGCAGGGGAUCUUCGGACCUUGCGCGAUUGAAUGAGCCGAUGUCGGAUUAGCUAGUUGGCGGGGUAAAGGCCCACCAAGGCGACGAUCCGUAGCUGGUCUGAGAGGAUGAUCAGCCACACUGGAACUGAGACACGGUCCAGACUCCUACGGGAGGCAGCAGUGGGGAAUAUUGGACAAUGGGCGAAAGCCUGAUCCAGCCAUACCGCGUGGGUGAAGAAGGCCUUCGGGUUGUAAAGACCUUUUGUUGGGAAAGAAAAGCAGCAGGUUAAUACCCCGCUGUUCUGACGGUACCCAAAGAAUAAGCACCGGCUAACUUCGUG
This 492-nucleotide ribosomal RNA is filed under the name uncultured bacterium. RNAcentral describes it as "partial 16S ribosomal RNA". It matches the Rfam family "Bacterial small subunit ribosomal RNA", at positions 29 to 507 of the family's 1533-position model. The record is from RNAcentral.